Molecule: long non-coding RNA, 1100 nt
Organism: Chroicocephalus ridibundus (black-headed gull)
Lineage: Eukaryota; Metazoa; Chordata; Aves; Charadriiformes; Laridae
Exons: 3
Source: RefSeq, a predicted model, not a curated record
GAGCACUGCUAGGAAUAGAGGAUUUCAGCUGUGCCUUUGCUAUUUCUACACUUACCACUGAAUCAAUACUGUUUACGCAGAAACAGCAUUGUAGAGAGGUUUUCACUUCCAGUAAGGUGUUUCUUGAAGGCCCCAGGCACGGUUGUGGAAAACUUCCGUUAGCCCAUGUCCCGAAGACUGUCAGGAGCUGCACUGAGAGAAAAGAAACUCUGACACUUGACCAGCUAUUUGGAAGUCAGAAGUUGCACAUCGUCCUGGGACAGAGCGUCAUAACAGGGGCUCACCCCUCCAGUUUUCAUGUUUUCUUUCGUAUUGCACGUCUCUGUCUAUGACACCGAGCGUGGAGAACCCCGCUUGAUUGAAUUUGCCAGCAGUUUGAACGGCGUGCUGGAGCGAUAGUGAAAUCUACACUUCAACUGGACUCCUCCACCACUGUUGCCAAAAAUAACAAAGAUAACAGGUGUAAGUAGAUAUAGGAUGUAUAGCCAAACGCUUGACAGUCAUGCUUUGUUUUUUCAGUAAGUGGGAGUGUUUUCAUGCAUGGAGCCAAUUUCAGCACUGGAACACUAGUGAUACUAUGAAUGACUUGUACAGUACUUUUCAUCCCAAGAGUUUUUCCGAUUGUGCAAACUAUGACUCACGCUCUCACUGCUGAAAUGCAGCCACCUUUGGCAUUGAGCGCAGCAGUUGUGUAAUAGUCCGUGACAGUUCAAACUGAGGUUUUGCUGUACUUGAAAUUAUCAGGGUACUUUCUCGAUAUGUGUAUGAAUGCUGAAUUCUGCUGUUGCUUGGUGAGAAUUUAGUAAUUCAUCAGCUCUAUAGAGCCCCUGCUUACUAUUCAAAGGGUAUUAUGCCUAAAUAUUGUAUAAAGUUUGUCGGUGUUUGUUUUAAAAAUUGUGGAAAAUUUAGUAUUUUUAUGUUGAUUUUGAUAGUGUCUCUUUUGUUGAGAACGACAUGCUUCAGGCUAAUGAUGGAUGGGUGGAAACAUUUGCAUAGUGUUUGUAUAUGCCCUGAUUUCUUUCUUCUGUCUGACCGUUUGUGACAGCAAGCAGUCUUGUAGGUUAGAGGUGGUGGCUGGACUUGUGUUUGCUGUGUUGAUG